This 588-nucleotide ribosomal RNA is filed under the name uncultured bacterium. RNAcentral's name for it is "bacterial SSU rRNA". It matches the Rfam family "Bacterial small subunit ribosomal RNA", at positions 338 to 916 of the family's 1533-position model. The record is from RNAcentral.
CCUACGGGAGGCAGCAGUGGGGAAUUUUGCGCAAUGGGGGAAACCCUGACGUAGCAACGCCGCGUGAGUGAUGAAGGCCUUCGGGUCGUAAAGCUCUUUUAGUGGGGAAGAAUCCCACCCGGGCCAAUACCUCGGGUGUCUGACGGUACCCACAGAAAAAGUUCCGGCUAACUACGUGCCAGCAGCCGCGGUAAUACGUAGGGAGCAAGCGUUGUUCGGAAUUAUUGGGCGUAAAGAGCGCGUAGGCGGUUCGGUAAGUCUGAUGUGAAAUCCCAGAGCUCAACUCUGGAACUGCAUUGGAUACUGCCGAGCUUGAGUGUGGGAGAGGAGAGUGGAAUUCCCAGUGUAGAGGUGAAAUUCGUAGAUAUUGGGAGGAACACCCGUGGCGAAGGCGGCUCUCUGGACCACAACUGACGCUGAGGCGCGAAAGCUAGGGUAGCAAACGGGAUUAGAUACCCCGGUAGUCCUAGCCGUAAACGAUGGGCACUAGGUGUUGGAGGUAUCGACCCCUCCAGUGCCGCAGCUAACGCAUUAAGUGCCCCGCCUGGGGAGUACGGUCGCAAGACUAAAACUCAAAGGAAUUGACGG